CGUUGCCGUAGGCAACGACCCGAAGGGCGAAGCGCGCAGCGCUGAGUAAUCCUUCCCCCGUCAUCC
Molecule: small RNA, 66 nt
Filed under: Salmonella enterica
Lineage: Bacteria; Pseudomonadati; Pseudomonadota; Gammaproteobacteria; Enterobacterales; Enterobacteriaceae
Also listed under: 4 other names
Description: partial RtT sRNA
Rfam family: RtT RNA
About the family: This family represents a bacterial cis-regulatory element known as RtT RNA. The exact function of RtT is unknown although it is thought that it may be involved in changing the cellular response in relation to amino acid starvation.
Source: RNAcentral